AGCGGAGUGGAGCAGUUGGUAGCUCAUUAGGUUCAUGCCCUAAAGGUCGUGGGUUCAAGUCCCGCCUCCGCAACCA
RNAcentral lists this transfer RNA (76 nucleotides) under Ruminococcus sp. Its description in RNAcentral is "tRNA-Met". It matches the Rfam family "tRNA". Rfam says of the family: Transfer RNA (tRNA) molecules are approximately 80 nucleotides in length. RNAcentral also lists the same sequence under 2 other names. The record is from RNAcentral. Lineage: Bacteria; Bacillati; Bacillota; Clostridia; Eubacteriales; Oscillospiraceae.